GGUCUUAUGAUUAUUAAUGUAAGAUCUGACCUGCUCUAUGUAUAAUAAAUGGCCGCGGUAUAUUGACCGUGCGAAGGUAGCAUAAUAAUUAGGCUAUUAAUUGUGGUCUUGGAUGAAAGGUUAGACGAGGGAAAUACUUUCUUAUAUGCAUUGUUGAAUUUAAAUAAUUAGUAAAAAUGCUAAUAUAAUAUAAAAAGACGAGAAGACCCUAUUGAGUUUUAUAUUUAUUUUAUUUAUUAUAUUUGAUUGGGGCGAUAAUUAAUAAACAAUUUAUGUUAUUGAUCCACUAUUAGUGAUUAUUAGAAUAAAUUACCAUAGGGAUAACAGCAUAAUUUGAUUGGAGAGUUCUUAUUGAUAUUCAAGUUUGUGACCUCGAUGUUGGAUUAAGAUUCCUUUUAGGUGCAGAUGCUUAAAUAGGUAGACUGUUCGUCUAUUAAAUUCUUACG
Molecule: ribosomal RNA, 446 nt
Filed under: Scolopendra dehaani
Lineage: Eukaryota; Metazoa; Arthropoda; Chilopoda; Scolopendromorpha; Scolopendridae
Description: partial 16S ribosomal RNA
Rfam family: Bacterial large subunit ribosomal RNA
Source: RNAcentral